UUUUGCAUUCGCUUUACGUUCCAUAAUGCUGUUACCCACUGCGUGCAACAAGUGGGUUUUACCCAGUCCUGUUCCACCAUA
This is a non-coding RNA of Proteus penneri ATCC 35198, 81 nucleotides long. The record is from Rfam. NCBI's taxonomy places the organism in Bacteria, Pseudomonadati, Pseudomonadota, Gammaproteobacteria, Enterobacterales, Morganellaceae.